GAUGAACGCUAGCUACAGGCUUAACACAUGCAAGUCGAGGGGAAACGAUGUUGGAAGCUUGCUUCCGAUAGGCGUCGACCGGCGCACGGGUGAGUAACGCGUAUCCAACCUGCCCAUCACUUGGGGAUAACCUUGCGAAAGUAAGACUAAUACCCAAUGAUAUCUCAAGAAGACAUCUGAAUGAGAUCAAAGAUUUAUCGGUGAUGGAUGGGGAUGCGUCUGAUUAGCUUGUUGGCGGGGUAACGGCCCACCAAGGCGACGAUCAGUAGGGGUUCCGAGAGGAAGGUCCCCCACAUUGGAACUGAGACACGGUCCAAACUCCUACGGGAGGCAGCAGUGAGGAAUAUUGGUCAAUGGGCGAGAGCCUGAACCAGCCAAGUAGCGUGCAGGAUGACGGCCCUAUGGGUUGUAAACUGCUUUUAUAAGGGAAUAAAGUGAGUCUCGUGAGGCUUUUUGCAUGUACCUUAUGAAUAAGGACCGGCUAAUUCCGUGCCAGCCGCCGCCGUAA
Molecule: ribosomal RNA, 508 nt
Filed under: uncultured bacterium
Lineage: Bacteria
Description: partial 16S ribosomal RNA
Rfam family: Bacterial small subunit ribosomal RNA
Source: RNAcentral